Molecule: long non-coding RNA, 368 nt
Organism: Ornithorhynchus anatinus (platypus)
Lineage: Eukaryota; Metazoa; Chordata; Mammalia; Monotremata; Ornithorhynchidae
Exons: 3
Source: RefSeq, a predicted model, not a curated record
AGACGCCGCUAUUUUCCCGCCAAAACCCCAGCGCCGCCCGCAGCCCAACCAACUAAUCAGAAGGCGUCACACUAAAAGCCAGGCCGGGAGUGGGAACGUACAACCCUUUUUAAGAAGGACACCUGGUUUCUUGCUUGUGGUUUCUAAUGUUUGGGUGAAGCAAAAACAACAUCAAGAGGGCACAUCUCUGUUCUACAUCCUUGGGACUAUGGAAAAGAAGUGAAAGGCCUUACAAGGUUAACGAGAUUUAACACUGUGGGAUCUAUACAGCCUGGAAUCAAGCUGAGCAGGGAGAGAGGAUCAUCUUUUAAUACUACAGAAUGGCCAUUUAUAAGAGGCCCCAGAUAAUAAAUGUUACUGAAGAAUCA